CCCCACUGGAGGGUUUUAAGAGGUCAUCUGAGUUCCAUUUUAAAUAAAUGACUUCAGCUCCACUCAUUAAGGUGCCUUCCUGCCUGCAGCAGGGCGUCAGCAGAAACCUCCAUGGUAUUUUCUAUGGAUUUUAUUUAUUUUUUGUGGGGUGGUAGGGAGCUCGAUUACUCGUUAAUACCAGAAAGUAAAGGAUUCAAAAACUGAAGGAAAUAGGGAACAGUGGAACAUGUGUCUGGGCACGCCGUCAGCUUCAAGCAUGUCAAGAAUGUGGUUGGAAUGGCUUUGCCAUCACUGGAAUGGUCGUAGGGCCACGCAUCAGUCCUUCAUUUGGCACCCUUGGUCAUGAUCUUCAAACAAGCUCACUCUACCAUGUGGUCAGUUUUUAUAUGAGACUUACAGGUAAUUUAAAGGAAGAUUAGCUGUGAACUAACAUCCGCUGC
RNAcentral lists this long non-coding RNA (440 nucleotides) under Equus caballus (horse). RNAcentral's name for it is "lncRNA (ENSECAG00000045946.1)". The record is from RNAcentral. Lineage: Eukaryota; Metazoa; Chordata; Mammalia; Perissodactyla; Equidae.